AACGAACGCUGGCGGCAUGCCUAACACAUGCAAGUCGAACGGGAUCCGGACUUCGGUUCGGUGAGAGUGGCGGACGGGUGAGUAACGCGUGGGAACCUGCCCAGUGGUGGGGGAUAACUGCGGGAAACUGCAGCUAAUACCGCAUGAGCCCGAGAGGGGAAAGAUUUAUCGCCAUUGGAGGGGCCCGCGUUCGAUUAGGU
RNAcentral lists this ribosomal RNA (200 nucleotides) under uncultured bacterium. RNAcentral's name for it is "partial 16S ribosomal RNA". It matches the Rfam family "Bacterial small subunit ribosomal RNA", at positions 29 to 246 of the family's 1533-position model. The record is from RNAcentral.